ACGCUCGACACCUACGGGAGGCAGCAGUGGGGAAUAUUGCACAAUGGAGGAAACUCUGAUGCAGCGACGCCGCGUGAGGGAAGAAGGUUUUCGGAUUGUAAACCUCUGUCUUUGGGGACGAUAAUGACGGUACCCAAGGAGGAAGCUCCGGCUAACUACGUGCCAGCAGCCACGGUAAUCUGAGCGGGCUGGCAAGGC
This 198-nucleotide ribosomal RNA is filed under the name uncultured bacterium. RNAcentral's name for it is "partial 16S ribosomal RNA". It matches the Rfam family "Bacterial small subunit ribosomal RNA", at positions 328 to 539 of the family's 1533-position model. The record is from RNAcentral.